This 247-nucleotide ribosomal RNA is filed under the name uncultured bacterium. RNAcentral describes it as "partial 16S ribosomal RNA". It matches the Rfam family "Bacterial small subunit ribosomal RNA", at positions 524 to 776 of the family's 1533-position model. The record is from RNAcentral.
UACGGGGGGAGCAAGCGUUGUUCGGAUUUACUGGGCGUAAAGGGCGCGUAGGCGGCACUGCAAGUCAGUUGUGAAAUCUCCGGGCUUAACCCGGAAAGGUCAACUGAUACUGCAGGGCUAGAGUGCAGAAGGGGCAACUGGAAUUCUCGGUGUAGCGGUGAAAUGCGUAGAUAUCGAGAGGAACACCUGCGGCGAAGGCGGGUUGCUGGGCUGACACUGAGGCGCGAAAGCGUGGGGAGCAAACAGG